GUCGGGAACUCAAAGGAGACUGCCGGUGAUAAACCGGAGGAAGGUGGGGAUGACGUCAAGUCAUCAUGGCCCUUACGAGUAGGGCUACACACGUGCUACAAUGGCGCAUACAAAGAGAAGCGACCUCGCGAGAGCAAGCGGACCUCAUAAAGUGCGUCGUAGUCCGGAUUGGAGUCUGCAACUCGACUCCAUGAAGUCGGAAUCGCUAGUAAUCGUGAAUCAGAAUGUCACGGUGAAUACGUUCCCGGGCCUUGUACACACCGCCCGUCACACCAUGGGAGUGGGUUGCAAAAGAAGUAGAUAGCUUAACCUUCGG
This 316-nucleotide non-coding RNA is filed under the name Gossypium arboreum. RNAcentral describes it as "Bacterial small subunit ribosomal RNA". It matches the Rfam family "Bacterial small subunit ribosomal RNA", at positions 1130 to 1445 of the family's 1533-position model. The record is from Rfam by way of RNAcentral. Lineage: Eukaryota; Viridiplantae; Streptophyta; Magnoliopsida; Malvales; Malvaceae.